RNAcentral lists this ribosomal RNA (371 nucleotides) under uncultured bacterium. RNAcentral describes it as "bacterial SSU rRNA". It matches the Rfam family "Bacterial small subunit ribosomal RNA", at positions 527 to 896 of the family's 1533-position model. The record is from RNAcentral.
GGAGGGUGCAAGCGUUAUUCGGAUUUACUGGGCGUAAAGGGCGCGUAGGCGGUUGGACAAGUCAGGUGUGAAAUCCCGGGGCUUAACUCCGGAAGUGCAUCUGAAACUGCCCGGCUUGAGUACGGGAGGGGGAAGUGGAAUUCCCGGUGUAGAGGUGAAAUUCGUAGAUAUCGGGAGGAACACCGGUGGCGAAGGCGGCUUCCUGGACCGAUACUGACGCUGAGACGCGAAAGCGUGGGGAGCAAACAGGAUUAGAUACCCUGGUAGUCCACGCCGUAAACUAUGUCAACUAGGUGUUGGGUGGGUAAAACCAUUUAGUACCGUAGCUAACGCGUGAAGUUGACCGCCUGGGGAGUACGGCCGCAAGGUUA